GCACUGGCAUGUCAUGCCCAAGACAGGCAAAAUGUUUGUCGAUAAACUAGUCAUGUCUGGAUUCCGCUUGCCUGAAGAGUAUAGAUAAGGAUAGGUCUUUGCUGUACUCGUUUUUUAGCUGUAACUUGUGACAUUUAAUCUGAGAUGAUAAAGUUCGGCGGAAUUAAAACAAUGAAAAAACUAGAAACAAAAAAAAAAAAACGGAUGUCGUU
RNAcentral lists this unclassified non-coding RNA (212 nucleotides) under Hevea brasiliensis (rubber tree). The record is from RNAcentral. Lineage: Eukaryota; Viridiplantae; Streptophyta; Magnoliopsida; Malpighiales; Euphorbiaceae.